GACUGUAGUACUCGUUUGAUCGUCUGAUUCAUCUUAUUGAUGAAUUUCAAAAAUUUUGAAAAAAUGAGUACAUGGGCAAUCCUAGCAGUUAGAAACGAUGAAAUCAAAUGAACUAAUGCCAAAAAUGUUGAUUGGUAACACGGCAAAUUGGUUAAAUGUGUAUCAAUAUACUAUGAUGAAACAGUUGGUGGUGAUCGUGCGGAAGAUGAAAAAAACAUCUUAAAAUAUCCUGAAGAAUAUCUACAACCGUUUACACCGUCCAGUCUUCCACCGCACAAAUUACUGUAGAAAGAGGGAUGUAUCAAAGAAAGGUAACAUUAGACAACAAAGGAGAUCUUGAUAUGCCAUUCGUAUUAAAAUGUUAACAGUUUCCCAUUAGGUUAGCUUUUACAAAGACAAUUAACUAAUCUUGGAGCCAAACAUUCGAAAAAGACGUUUUAUUUAAUGGAGAGAGAAACAAAAUUCAAUCACAGGCAGUUAUACGUUGCGUUGAUGCAUAUGUAACAAUUCCCAUGAAAAUAAAAAUCUGCUUAAAUUGUACAUCCGCAUCCCCAUUAAUGAGUGGCAGACCCUCAAAGAGGCUAGGGUGUAGUGCAGGCCCGGGGGUUAGCGAGUGAAGCAAGCAGGGGGCAAAGCCCCUAGUUACUUAAUAAAAUACAUAUUGUUUUAGGUGACUUGUUACUUUUAAAAGUAAUUGGACUGUAGAACACGCAUACCUUUUUAUACUCUAAAACACUGCUUUCGAGAUUGUGCUGCUAAGUUUAGCACAGUACCUUCAGUUCAUUAACAUAAAUUUAGGAAUUUCUGAAAUAUAGAGACAUCAUUUGCCUCAGGAAAUUAAAUUUUGUGGACGCUUCCACCUGUGGCUGCUGAAAACAUUUUGUGAAGCUAAGCAGGUGAACAGAGUGGACAUGUGCAGACUACAGAAUCCUUAAGUGUAACCCAGUUAAGGAUUUACAUUGCCAAAUAACCGGGUUGCUUGCUAAGAAAUUUACUACAUCUGUUAAUCAGUUUUUUCAGAGAUAAUUAACUUGGUUUCUUUAACCGGGGAAAAAGAGUUUACAUGACAUUGUAGAACAAAUGUUUCUGUGAAUAACCAGGUUAUUAAAGCACAUGUAAGCACACUGAUUGGUUCUUUGAACUGUGUAAAAGAUGCCUCGUGGCUCAAAAAAGUGGUAUCAAAUAAACCAUAAAAACUUGUAUUUUGAAUAAUUGUAGCCCUUUGCAGAUACCUGUGGCAGCUUUUGGUUAUCAAAGAGAUGUGAUUAAAGCGCUGACCCUUGAUACACUACAGAAAAACCUGAUAGGGCUCAAACCUUUUUCUGGUUAAUGAAGCCUUUUUAGUAGUACUUUGUGAGUACACAGCAGAUUAUAGACUUGAUUUUGCAAACUAAUGUCAUAUUGUGCAUGUAUACUGUAUAUGUCAAAAUGUAAUUAGUGUUUUGUUUUUUUUUCAUCUCAAGGAUCAUCUUCAUUUGAAUGUGCACCGAAGAUUCAGAAAGCAGAAGUGAAUGGCAAGAUAAAAAUUGAAUGUGCACUAAUUCAAGAGUUUACUGACGACGUAAAGAAUGUUGUUUGGAACUUAAAUGAUAGCACAGUACUUCGCUACGAUCAAAUAGGAAACGUUUUGGAGAACACAUCACAAGGAAGAAUGGUGCCUUUUGCCUUGACCAAGACAGAAAUUGCAGUUACUAUUAUUAAUGUUCAGAUGUCAGAUUUUGGAUUCUAUCAGUGUUUUGUACACAAUGGCGAAACCACGAAAUGCUGUUCAAUUAAUCUUCAACCCAUGUUGCCUUCAACAGCUUAUAGCACAGUGGCCACAAGCAAUACCAAUGCUGCACGAAGUCCUCUCUCUCACAUCUUACCUGUUGUUGCACUGUUGAUUGUUGUUUGUAGCAUUGCUUUAAUUUACCAAAGGUAAGUAUAAUCCAGAAGAAGCGUUUCUUCAAGCAUAAAGUUAAAGAAGAAACAUUCUUUUCAGCAUUUUUGUUUUGUACAACUGCAGAGUGGAAAAAUAGGAAAGGAGCACCAUGCAAACGUUUGGGUACUCCAAAAGAUUUGAAGUCACAGAUAAUGUUUGCCAAUGUCCCAGAUCUUAAUUAGCUCAUUAGAGCUAUGGCUUGUUCACAGUCAUCAUUAGGAAAGGCAUGAUGAUGCAAAUUUCAAAGCUGUGUUAAUACUCAGACUUCUCAAACCUUGCCCCAACAAUCAUCAGCCACAUGCUCCUCUAAGUAUGCCCACAAGGCAGGACAAGGCUAUAAGAAGAUAACAGAUUGUUUUCAGUUAGCAGUUUCCUCAAUUUGUAAUUCAGUUAACAAACGGAAGUUAACAGGAACAGCGGAGGCCGAGUUGAGGUCUGGAAGACCAAGAAGACUUUCUAAGAGAGCUGCUUAUUGGAUUGCUAGAAAGGCAGAUAAAAACCUUUGUUUGACUGCAAAAGAUUUAGCAGACUUUGGAGUGGAGGUGCACUGUUCUACAAAUUUUGACCUUUCUGGAAGAGUCAUCAGAAGAACCUCUCCUUGAUACUCACCAGAAAUUCAGCAUCAGAGGUUUGCAAAUGAACAUUUGAACAAGCCUGAGGCAUUUUUGAAAUAAGUCCUGUGGACCGAUGAAGUCAAAAUGGAACCUUUCCCCACACUGUGCAAAAAUAUGUUUAGAAAAAAAAGUGUGCAGAAUGCCAAGAAAAGAACGCCUCUCUACCUGUUAAGCAUAAAGAGUGGAUCAAUCAUGCUUUGGGCUUAUGUUGCAGCCAGUGGCACAGGGAACAUUUCACUGAUAGAGGGAAGAAUGGAUUCAAUUCGAUACCAGCAAAAUUUGAAAGCAAACAUCCCACUGUCUAUUAGAAAGAUGAAGAUGAAAAGAGGAUGGCUUUUACUAAAGGAUAAUGAUCCAAAACUCACCUCAAAAUCCACAAUGGACAACCUCAGGAGACACAACCUGAAGGUUUUGGCGUGACCUUCACAAUCUCUGACUUAAACAUCAUUGAUAAUUUGUGGAUAGACCUCAAAAAGACCAGUUCAUGCAAGAAUCUCACAUAAUUAAAAGGCUUUUACAAGGAAAAAUGGGUGAAAAUGACCCAAAUAAAAACUGAAAGACUCUUAGCUUGCUUCAAAAGCUUUUACAGACUGUGAUACUUGCCAGAGGGGGUGUUACUAAGUAUUGAACAUGCAAGGUGCCCAAACUUUUGCUUCAGGCCCUUUUCCUUUUUUGUUGUUUUGAAACUGUAAAUGAUGGGAAUUUAAAAAAGCAAUCUUGCUUAAAAUAUUAAAGAAAUGUGUAUCUUUAACGUUAUGCUUUGUGGAAAUAAGGUCAUCUUUUACUUGUUUAGCAAUUCAUAGUAACCAACGUUUUGACCAAUGGUGCCCAGACCUUUGCAUGUACUGUAUGUACAGGUGUAUAUAUGUUAAGGGUUAUUUCUUUUAAGCACUUAUUACUACAGUAUAUUGGAAUUUUGUGAUAAAUUAGUUAUUAUAAGUAGGUACCACUUCACAGACACCGAACAUCCACAGAUGCUGCUCCCUGGGUCUUACCAUAAUAUGCAGUUUUAAAUUUGUUACUAUAAUGUGUCUUUUAGCCUUGUCUAAUUGCAUAAAUAUACAUGGAGUGCAAAAAAAUGAUUUCAUCCUCUUUGAAAUCUGUUAUUAUACAGCAUUGAAUCUUGGUACUAAUAUUUCUUUUGUGGCACUGAUGUAUACACACAUACACCUAACUGCAUGUUUGAAAUUUAUAAAUCCCACUGGAUUUGUAUGUUUUGGGAAUCCUUCACAGGUGGCGCAGUGGUAGUGCUGCUGCUUUGCAGUAAGGAGACUGUGGAAGAUUGUGGCUUCGCUUCCCGGUUCCUCCCUGUGUGGAUAGCGCUUUGAGUACUGAGAAAAGCGCUAUAUAAAUGAAAUGAAUUAUUAUUAUUAUUAUUAUUAUCCCUAAACAUGGUUGCUAAUUUUGUAGUAUUGUCUGUCUCUGUGUCGCUACAUAUAUAAAUACAUACGCUUUAGGUGAAUAUACAGGAAAUGUUGUGAUAGUCAAAAUUCGUGGUGCAUGGUUUCUGUGUGUUCAGUUAACAGUGAUUCUUCUUGAGUAUAAUUACACACAUUCAGUAAGUAACUUAUGCUUAUCCUUUUUGAUCCAGUUGGAGCAAAGGUCAACACAAGAGCACUCCACUCUGCACAGCCUUUUGCCAUUGCUUCUGCUUUGCUGCAGGUCAUUCCCAGAACUUUCAGUUCUUUCUCUACAGUCUUUUGCCAAUUUGUUUUUGGUCUCUUGUCCUGUGGUGUCCAACAGAGGGCUACUUUUGUGAUGUUUGCUCCUGGAAUCCUUGGUACAUGGUCUAGGCAUCCCAGGUGUUGUUGCUAUACCUGUUGAAUGAUGCAUGUGUACAUUGUAAGAUCUAGUUAGGUCCUUGGUGGAGAUCCAGCUUACCUAGAAUAAUCAAGUUAUUGUUUGGAGGUAGCCAUUGUGGAAGCUAAACAUCACUAAAAGGACAGAUAAACUGAUAAUUACAAAUUGACCUGUGUGAGUCCCAGCAAGGAACUGGUUUCCUGCCCAUGGCCGUUUCCUGUCCUGAACCCAGCGCUGGCAGGAUAUGCUUUGUGUCCCCAAGACCCUGAAUUUGAUUAAAUAGGUAUGAGAAUAUUGUGUUACUUGUGUAAAUAUAGAAAUGAAUGUAGAAGUGAGACAGAGUUCCUGAUGGGAAAUAUGUAUGCAAGCCAAUGGGAAUCUGUUAGGAGAGGAUCAAACUCAAUCCCAUCCUGAAAACACCAGUAUGUUUGUAUAAAAAGAAGACUUUUUGUUGCUUCUUAAAAUCUGCUUUUGUUGUCUGUUUCCUGUGUAGAAUUUUAAAAAGAGAAAACUCCCUGUUCCUCCAACAUGUAUGGUACCUAGUAAGAGAUUCACUGCCCUAAAUCUACAUUCACAACAGCAAUAAUGAGUGUUACUGUAGUCAUAUGAAUUACAGUUACUGCUGCUUUUUUUUGUGAAGAAAUAAACACAAAUUAAAACUUUUACUUUAUAGUGUUAGAGAUGGAUUCUUAAAAUAGUUUAGUUUAGAUUUUAUUGUAAAUUUGUAUCUUAACAUUAUACAUAAUUGGUAAGGCAAUUUCUGAAUAUUUCUAUUGUUCAUUUUUUAUUGUUGACCCUGAACAUAUUCUCUGCUGAACUAUCAGUUUAACACAAUAAAAAUAUGAAAAACUAAUCCUAUUUCCAAAGUUGGGAAGGAAGAUUUUAAAAUCCAUUUCUAAACUGAACCGAAAACCAAAAUGUGAUUGUUGAGCAUUCUUUGUAGAUAUGUAUUUCUCCUUUGCACUUUUUUGUAUUUAUAAAUUAUUCAGGGGUGCUCUAAGUCAAUUUUCCAAGUUGCAUUAAAUACUUCUGAUGGAAGGUGUUUGAGGGAUUAUAUUAAUUUGACCAUAGAGAUUCCUGUUUCUCCAGUUAAUGUCAGAAACGUUUUCAAAGAUCACGUUCUGAAAUUUGGCACUUUAGCCAGGAUAUAAUCCUCUCUCAUAUAAUAUGUUAUGGGCAAAAGUAGGUUUAUAGCUGGGAGUAUGCGAAACACAGAAUAUAUUCUUGGGUUAUUAUUUAUUUGUAUUGUUUGUCGUCUUCUUUGCCUUCUUCCUAAAGCUAUUGAGUUUGUAAAGCUACUGUAAGAAUCAUCUUCAGCUGCUCUGCACUUUAACUUCUAGAGAUAUCAGUAAUUGUUAAAAUGUGAAAAAAAAAAAUUAUUUAUUUGCUUGGGGUAUUUAGAAUUAGCUUUGGCAUCAGCCUGGGAAAAAGAACAUAAUUUUGUAAUGCAAACACAUAACUUAUAAUCUUAAAACCAUGGUUAUUUAUGUAAUCAUUGUUAAUUCCAAAUGAAGACUGGCUGUUAUCUUGGGGAUGCAUGCUGCAACAAAAGAGAGGAGAUUUUCACCAUAAUCUAGACAUUCCAAGCAGUGUCUUUUUCAGUAGGCAGCUACUGCAGGAAAUGGAACGUGACUUUGUUGCCUUAAUUUUUUACAUUACUUCCAUUUUAAAAUUCUAAACCUAAAAAGCUAUAUUUCCCCCUUAGCUACAGUUAGCAAUAAGUGUUGAGCUGCUUCAGAUCAAAGCCAUUUGGGUGAUAUUCUCAGAAAAAGAAAAUAAACAAUUAGAGACGUCUGAUAUGCCAAAAUGAGUUCUUUGCCAAACUACAUAAUUACAAAAAAAAAAAAAAAGUACCAUUAACAAUAAUAAUAAUUUCUUUCCACAUAUAAUUGUUUUGUAUGAAAAAUCUGCAUUUGAACUGCAACACUGAGUUUAAGACUUCUGCCAUAUCCAAUUACCAUCACCCUAACUCUGUGUGUUCGUUAUAAAAUCUGUCUUUCAGUAAAUUUGAAACGUUAAGUAAUUAUCAGAGAAAAUCUAAUUUGCUAUAAUUCAAAAACACUUAAUUGACAUUUUCAUGAAAAGAAAAGUAACAUAUUAUCUGUGAUAGAAUGGGAGCAGUACAAAGGAAUAGAAUUCAUGUUUUUUAAUGAACUGCAAUGAAUUUCAUCUUAGUAGUUUAUUGCAUUUAUGCAACAAACCAAUCAACAUUGUGACCACUAAGAGUCCAGUUUGAGAGCAAUACUGUAGAGCCUUGAGCCAUUGUGUGGUUACUGUUCCCAUUUUAAAGUUUACAUAGAACUCAUCAGGGAUCCUGAAGCUUUAAUUUUAAGUUGUACACUGUUUUCAAAGGCCCAUUGUACCUUUAUUUAAUCAUGAAUGAAAUUAGCUAAUGCACAGUAUAUAACUUUGAAUACCUUUUAUAUUAACAAACUGUUACUGUGGGUUAUUGAAUGCACUUUCUGUAAAAAGUCUUAAAUGUAUCGCAAUGUAUUUGACAAAAAAAGUAUUUUGUAACUUGGAAUAAAUAUUUAUAUAUUAACUUGA
Erpetoichthys calabaricus (reedfish) is the source of this 6882-nucleotide long non-coding RNA. RefSeq lists it as uncharacterized. Lineage: Eukaryota; Metazoa; Chordata; Cladistia; Polypteriformes; Polypteridae. The transcript has 2 exons. The record is from RefSeq and is a predicted model, not a curated record.